Molecule: long non-coding RNA, 704 nt
Filed under: Equus caballus (horse)
Lineage: Eukaryota; Metazoa; Chordata; Mammalia; Perissodactyla; Equidae
Description: lncRNA (ENSECAG00000058522.1)
Source: RNAcentral
CACACUUCCCAUAAAGCGCCUGCCCGCAAAUACCACCUUGGUUUUUUUUCCCCAUAGAGCAUUGACCUAACUCUGUUCCAGGAAUGGUCUGAGAAAGAAGAUACUAAAAUAGGAUAUUAGAGCUGUUUUGCCCACUGGCUGGCUGACAAGGAGGAUUCCAUCACUGAUGAUAUGUGGAGUACAGAAAACCCCUGGCAUGGUGUGGAAGUGGUCUUGUUAACACUCUUGCUGACGUUAAACUGGGAUGGGAUGCUAGAGGCAAGAAACAUGCUGAGAGAUUAAAUGCUUUUCCCUCUGCUUUGAAGAUGGUUGAACAGUUGAUCAUUCAGUUUAUUUCAAGGGUCUAGAUGAGUUGGGUCUGGGUUACAACUCAAGCCCGAUUAACUUCAUUUCCAGUUAGCCCAACUAUACAUGCCAUGAUCUGCUGCUUCUAAGAAGUGAAUGCUAGGAGAGGUGGCUGGGAGCGGAUCUAUCCAAUGCUGGCUCAGAGAAGGUAUCAGCCAAUGUUUGUGAAUGUGACAUCAGGCGGAGUUGUGAGAUUUAUCUUCAGCAACCUCCUAACAGCUUAUUUCUGUCUCCUGCAUGGUUCACUCUGUCUGUGUGCCAUUCUGUACAACAGCCCCCACUCAGAAACAUAACCAUGGCACAAAUACUGUACAAAAGAGAUUUCGACCUCAACAUUGCAUUGGAGAUGCUAACUUCUG